Molecule: long non-coding RNA, 869 nt
Organism: Xenopus tropicalis (tropical clawed frog)
Lineage: Eukaryota; Metazoa; Chordata; Amphibia; Anura; Pipidae
Exons: 3
Source: RefSeq, a predicted model, not a curated record
AUUAUCCCCAGCCUAUUAUUGUUUGUGUGGUUCUUCUGCUCCUCCUGCUGGGUCUCGCCGGCUUUCUCUACAAAUACAAAUACUAUGAAAAACUGAAAACUAAAGUUCUCAGCAGCACCGUGCCGGUCAGCAAGGGAGAUCUAGAGAGUAGGCCGCCCCAAGCAGUGGACAAUAUCUAUAUGGUUGAUGUUGUAUACGCAACUCCUAUUAAAAAACAUUGAUUAACUCUUAUUUAGAGUAAAAUAAAGUCUUAUUUUCUUAUAUCAAAACAUAUCUCGUUUAUUAUCAGGACACUAAUUAUAGAGUCAUCUGCUGGAUGGGGGUAUAACUGUCAGUUUCCUAUCAGAAAGCAAAUGUAUGUUAUAGGAUGAUUUGUCCUUUAUAAUAUGUUGUUUGACUUAUGUACAAAUCUGUAAUAAAAAUAUCUGUUAUUUUAUAAUGCCUUCAUUAAAAGUGUAUUCGUUUUCCUUUAUUGUUUUGUUACUUGACCUACUGGCAGUGGUGUAACUGAAAGUUACUGGGCCCCGAGCAAAAUCUUUUUAGGACCCUUCUAAAGUUUCUGCUUCCUGUAUGUGUAUUUUACCCCCUGAUUAUUCAGUAAGGAUGGGGAUAAUGGGCAGGGGUAUAGCUACAGGUGCUGUGCUGCAUUUGGAUCCUGAGAUCUUUCACUACAGAAGGAGACUAUGGAGCUCAAAGGGUUCUCUAAGUGAUCAGUACAAUUUCCCCAAACAUAAGAAUUCUGCCUCUUCCCAGCUUUCAAAUGGGGGUCACUGGCCCCAGUAGGAACAGACUAUUGUGAGGCUUCAAUGUUAUUGAUAUUGUUACUUUCAGCCCCUAUCCUAUUCAGUUUUCAGUCUGACAUUGACACC